GAACGCUGACAGAAUGCUACACAUGCAAGUCAACUUGAAUUUGGGUUUUAACUUAAGUUUGGGUGGCGGACGGGUGAGUAACGCGUAAAGAACUUGCCUCACAGCUAGGGACAACAUUUGGAAACGAAUGCUAAUACCUAAUAUUAUGAUAAUAGGGCAUCCUAUAAUUAUGAAAGCUAUAAGCGCUGUGAGAGAGCUUUGCGUCCCAUUAGCUAGUUGGAGAGGUAACGGCUCACCAAGGCGAUGAUGGGUAGCCGGCCUGAGAGGGUGAUCGGCCACAAGGGGACUGAGACACGGCCCUUACUCCUACGGGAGGCAGCAGUGGGGAAUAUUGGACAAUGGACCAAGAGUCUGAUCCAGCAAUUCUGUGUGCACGAUGAAGUUUUUCGGAAUGUAAAGUGCUUUCAGUUGGGAAGAAAGAAAUGACGGUACCAACAGAAGAAGUGACGGCUAAAUACGUGCCAGCAGCCGCGGUAAUACGUAUGUCACGAGCGUUAUCCGGAUUUAUUGGGCGUAAAGCGCGUCUAGGUGGUUAUGUAAGUCUGAUGUGAAAAUGCAGGGCUCAACUCUGUAUUGCGUUGGAAACUGUAUAACUAGAGUACUGGAGAGGUAAGCGGAACUACAAGUGUAGAGGUGAAAUUCGUAGAUAUUUGUAGGAAUGCCGAUGGGGAAGCCAGCUUACUGGACAGAUACUGACGCUGAAGCGCGAAAGCGUGGGUAGCAAACAGGAUUAGAUACCCUGGUAGUCCACGCCGUAAACGAUGAUUACUAGGUGUUGGGGGUCGAACCUCAGCGCCCAAGCAAACGCGA
Molecule: ribosomal RNA, 810 nt
Filed under: uncultured Fusobacterium sp.
Lineage: Bacteria; Fusobacteriati; Fusobacteriota; Fusobacteriia; Fusobacteriales; Fusobacteriaceae
Description: bacterial SSU rRNA
Rfam family: Bacterial small subunit ribosomal RNA
Source: RNAcentral